ACCCCUACGGGGGGCAGCAGUGGGGAAUAUUGGACAAUGGGCGCAAGCCUGAUCCAGCAAUACCGCGUGUGUGAAGAAGGCCCUAGGGUUGUAAAGCACUUUUAUGAGUGAAGAAAGGACAUUAUUUAAUAGAUAUUGUCUGUGACGGUAACUCACGAAUAAGCACCGGCUAACUCCGUGCCAGCAGCCGCGGUAA
RNAcentral lists this ribosomal RNA (196 nucleotides) under uncultured Marinicella sp. Its description in RNAcentral is "partial 16S ribosomal RNA". It matches the Rfam family "Bacterial small subunit ribosomal RNA", at positions 335 to 523 of the family's 1533-position model. The record is from RNAcentral. Lineage: Bacteria; Pseudomonadati; Pseudomonadota; Gammaproteobacteria; Lysobacterales; Marinicellaceae.